GGCAAAUUGAAAUAUUUUGAAGCAGAGUGAAGUGGCUAGAUGCAGCAAAAGUCGGUCGGUCGGUCGCGUAGACUAUGACUGCAUAGCUUAUAGCGCAUCCCUUUUAUCUCCAUCGACAAAACUAGCCCAUGGGCUUUGCAAUGGGAAGCUCCCACCUGUUGCAGUCUUACUUUCUCCCUUCUUCUUCUUUCUCCUCUUCUCAUUCCCAUUCUGUACUUCUUAAUGCUAAGAACUGUAAUGGGAAGACCAAGAAAAAGAGGGCAACCAUUGUUGCUUGUACGCGCCAAGAAGAUCCAGACGAUAUCGUUUUUAGCAAGAAGAGAGCAGUUCUCUUUGUGGGUAUUACGGUUCUUCCCUUCUUGCAACUCAGGGCCAGAGCUAUUGAAGGUUCAUUUACAAAAGAAAGUGAGCUCAAGACACCUGAAGAUAACUCAAAAGAACAGGUAUGAAUCUCUGCUUCGUCUACAAAUAAAUCCAGACAAGUAACUUUUGGUAUUUUUGAUUUUAUAUUUUUUGAUUUUGUAC
Molecule: unclassified non-coding RNA, 525 nt
Filed under: Hevea brasiliensis (rubber tree)
Lineage: Eukaryota; Viridiplantae; Streptophyta; Magnoliopsida; Malpighiales; Euphorbiaceae
Source: RNAcentral